UAAAGCAUUUCUGUCCCUGGAUAUCAAGAAAAACAGACAUUGGAAUCUGACAUUUCCAGCAGUUGCAAAAACCAAAAGUAUUUCUUAUACCGGACAUUAUUUUCAUAUAUUGGAGCCAAUGAGAGGGUCUGACAACUCAUCGACCCCCAUUAUACUUUGGCAGAAAGACCUUGGACAGUGGUCCUUCCUCACUAUGCCUUGGAAGCAGCUGAGCUCACUGCUGACCUUUAGUGUGACCCUCAGCUCGUAGUCCUGGACAUUGGAAUGUACUAGUCUGCAACACUCGGUCAAGGUUAACUCUUUGCACCAGAAAACCAACAAGUUUGGGGGAGACCAAAGAGCAUCUUUCACUGAGUUGACUGUCUUCCAAGCAUAGUCGAUGUUUGUCUUGGUGUGCGUUCCAGGGAACAGACAAUUGAGCACAGAGUCCUGCAUCACAGAGCUGUUUGGGAUGAGCCCGACAAAACCACUGCAUCUUUCUCCAGACUUCCUUUGCAAAGACACAUUCCAGAAGGAGAUGUGUGACAGUCUGCCUACCCUGCAGCUGAUUUGAGGGCAAUGUGUAGUAGCAGAGACAGUCCAGGUUCUUGAGGACAAUAUGCACUGACCAUUACCUGGUUGACUUGUGGUCAAAGAUGUUCUUGCUGACAAAUGUUUCCAUGAGGGACAGGUGAAGCGGAAUAGCCCAUGUACUUGAAGAAUUCCAUGACAAUGAACCAAACCUAUCCUUUGUAACACUAGGGACAGCUGAGUAUGGUAAUAAGCCAAGGACAAGGAUGGCACCAUAUUGACCUACAGCCAUAAGAAGUCCAAGCAGCAGCGUAUAGACUAAAGAAGUGUACAUAACUGGCUCUGUACUGCAACUUAUCAGUUUAUCUGUUAAAUAAAUACACUUGAGAUUUUCAAGUAAAUCAUACUUGUUCAUCCAAUAUGAGAUUGGUAAUUCUGUGUGUAGGAAAGCAACACAAGAGUUCAAUAGUCUCCAAUAUUC
Rhincodon typus (whale shark) is the source of this 991-nucleotide long non-coding RNA. RefSeq lists it as uncharacterized. The record is from RefSeq and is a predicted model, not a curated record. NCBI's taxonomy places the organism in Eukaryota, Metazoa, Chordata, Chondrichthyes, Orectolobiformes, Rhincodontidae. The transcript has 3 exons.